CCCGGCGUCCGCGCGGAGCAGGGAACCCGAGGUCCGCAGGCAGCCGACCCGCAGGGGAAACCAUUAGGGAAACCAGGCAGGACGGCAUCAGGAACGGCUGGAACCAGGCCCCAACGCCCCUUCCCCGGCGUCCUGCGGGGGCCACGACGCCGUAGAGAUGCCUUCCCCGUGGCCCCACUUGAGACCGAGGAGAAGUGUGCCCCCCGCUCUUCAUGACCCUUCGGGUCUCUGAGAUCAAAGACACCCCCACCCCCACUCCCACCCCCACCCCCCAGAGGACCCGGUGGGGCGCAAGAGAAGAUGAAACCACGGGGCAGUUCAGAGAAGCUGCUGGAACUUGUGGCCGGGCCGCAGGUCCCCUUGUGCUGCGGCCUCUGCUGGAAGAAGUGGGGCUCCCCGGACAGCAGAGGCCGAGGGCCUGCGGGGGACAGGCUUUCCCACCGCCCACCAAGGGCAGGGCCGGGUGAAGUGUCCCGGGAGGCUCCAGUCAUUCUGGAGGCAUGGCCUUCUGCGGGAGGCUGGGCGAGGCCAGGGCAAGCUUGAACCCACUGGUCGUGGAAGUGACGCUCAGCUUCCGUCAGCAGCCACUGCUGCCCAGCAAGGACCUUCUGGGGAUGUCAGGGAGACCCGCGGAGGCAGGUGGUGACUAGAGUCUGACCACAGGGAGCUCUCAACUGGACGGUCGGCCAGAGCAGAAGCACCUGAAAUUUGAGUAUCUACCCACGAGGGGGACAACAUCUUCAAAGAGUCGUAACUUAAAAAAACAAAACAAAGCAAAACAAAAAAACCAUUGGGGUUUGAGUUUACUGGAUUGGGACAAAUUUCAUUUCCCCACUGCCGUGUGGGAGCAGGACUCCCUUUCUGAGGAAGGACCGUACAGCUCUACGGCCAGAACGAGUUUCGUGUGGGUCCAUGGAAGGUCUGAGAAGAUCUGUGUGUUGAAGUCCCUCCCGCCCCCUGUGCCACCAGGUGAUGAUCUUUGGAAGUGGAGCCUUUGAGAGAACUUCUGGAGAUGAGCUUGAGAAGUCCCCCCUACAGGACUGGAAUGGCAGCUCUCUAACUUCGGGAGGCACGCAGUAGCAGUAGCAUGAACCAGAGAGGCAGUCAUAGGAGGAAAGACCCUUCAGACCUGGGGCUGUGUGUCCCUGGAAGUCCCAGCGAGUGAUUACUGAUUCAAAGCAUCACCAAGAGCGGGCUGGCACUGGCCCCCUUUCCUUGACUUCUAUUAUAAAGGUAAACUACUGAUUGGGAAACGGGUGCUGUUCUACUCUAAGGCUUAGGAAGGCCUUGGAAUGAAUUCAUCGACAUGUGUCGAUGACUACUCAAGGCUAGCUUUGAACUUUGGAGCAUCAGAAAGAACUCCGAGAAAACUCAGAUCUCCUCAAAGAAUUCAGUCCCAUCUGGAGAUCAUGUGAACUGAUUAAGGGCUGAAUUGGGGGUAAAGAGAUAUAUCACGCGCACACAGUAGGUGAUCAAUAAAGCCUGGCUUGCUGAGACCUAUGUGAAAUGGGAAGAAGACAACGGAGGAGAGACGGCUAUCUCCACGUCUGAAAUGACUCCAGCCCUCUUGAGGUCCAGCCUCCAGCUUCCUACAAAGUGAAAACAAGGUUCUGCCAAUUUUGAGUCUCAGGGGACAAUUUCAGAAAAAUUUCAGAGAAUUGCCGUAGUCUCUCUCAGUCGUCUAGCAUGGAAAGGCAUUUCUUACUUUUUUGGAAGGAGACUUAAAUUUCUAUAGAAUCUCUUCUCUGAGGAGCUCACAUACCAAGCUGUACAUAUGUCCCAGGGAUGUGAUUUGAUUUACGUAUUUUAGAUUUGUCAUUCUCCUGAAAACACAUGGGGGACCGAUAUUUUGUCCCUAGAGGACUUCAUUAACAUGGCAGGGGGUGUUACCUCAUGAGGCUGGGAUUUGACUCAGCCCCACGAAAAGCUUAGGAAGUGGGUCUUAGGACAAAGGGUGUAGACAGUUGGCAUGAAGAGGUUGGAGAAAGCCUCACCUUCCAUCAGAUGUCCAUGGGCUGAAGGUGUGGGCCAGGGGACGAGCUAGAGCUUGGGGCACUGCAGACAAAGAUGUUCAUUUAUGUUUGUAUCCCGUUGUUAUUAAGCUCUGUUCUGUGUUAGGGCCUAUACACUAAGCAGCCCGGCAGGGGAGACAGACACAGAAAUGAAAGGUUGGGAGGCUUUGCAUAGCCACAGGCUAACUAGAAAGCCUGUGUUGAAUGAACCCCACGGGGGGGGGGGGGGGCUUCAGAACUGUGCCUCUGAACAGGUUAAGGGGAGCUCCAGGGGAAGCCAAGUCAGCAGCACAGCCCCAAAGGGCAGAUCCUGGUUACUCGGUUCAUGGCCUCCAUACCGAGACCUCAGGCUCUGAUCUGUGGGCCCCCUUCCUCCCCUCAGCAUUCUGAAGUGGGGGGCCAGGUCCCAGGAUGUUCACUAGUUCAUGGGCAUGGGCGGAGGGCAAGACCUCCUUUGCUCCUUCUCCUGGGGAUAGUCAAGCAUAGUUUCUCUCACUUUCGGGCACGGCUGGGUGUGGGGCCGGGAUGGGCCUGCACGUGUUCCCGGGCCCAGAAGGCAUGGCGGGCUCCAGCGCAGGCUUGCAGGAGAAAUCCCGACUUUCAGCUUCUUUUCCUGGAUGGCGUUUCCUUGAGUUGACUGUCAGUGAUGAGACCAGAAGGCCGAGAUGAGGAUGGGGAAAGAGGCCUAGUGGUCGUUAGGCCUGCUUCUGUCCUAGGCCUUGGGCCUUCUUGCACCUCCGAUGCUUCAGCUCUCCCCUGCUCGGCCUGCCUUACAGGAGGCUCUUUUGGGCCCUGGAGCUCAAGCCCCAGGAGAGCGGCGCUUGAGAGUUCGGGGGAUACUGGUUUCCAAACCCAGCGGCCCCACCUAAGUUCGAACCAAAUGGUGAGAAGGAGGGUGGAAAAAUAGUGUUCUCCACCGAGUGUGAUUUGAACAAUUGAGGGACUGUUGCUAUAGCUACAAUUCUAGAAAGACCUUAGAUGGAUAAAAGAAGGGGGGAUAAAAGAACUCUUUGGGAACAAACAGCUCAUCGUUGUCUUUUUUAGUCAGCUCAGAACAACUGCAAGUAAGAGGGGUCAGGGCCACCGCCAGCAUCGUGCACACCCUCCGGUGUGUGUCUUCUCUCCCUGACACACGUCUCAUGACCCCCUUCUGGGCAUCUCAGAGCUCCGCUCCCCCAGGCUUCAAGCUCUGGUCUCAGGAAAGCUCUUCGGUGACCUGCACCCAAGCUUCUCCAGCCGCCCAAGCUUUUCUAAGCUUCUCACAGCGAUGCCUUCCCGGGGUGGGGGUUGGGGUGCCUGCGUUCUCUUACUCUGGCUGCACCUGUCUGUAUCAGGGCCUCGGCCGCCUGGCUUCCCGUGAGCAACCCCGAACCCCCGGUAUCCUGGUUCAGGGUUCUGGAGUGAGCACCCCGGGGAGUGGGGCCCGGGGAGGCUGACGCAUGUUGAGGCUUGGCUGGUCUCAUGUUCCCUUCCCACCCCAUAGAAUGGGGGGUGAUGCAUGGGGUCUCCUCCUUCCUUGACUCUCCCCAUCAUGCCCUCCUGACUCCCUGCGGUGACUUCCCUGAAGGCCCCCCUGGGGCUUCCUGGGCUCUUCCCUUGAACAUCCCAGGGAGGCUGUGCUGCAGCGGGUGCGCUUCCCACCCCUGCCAGGAGGAGGCAGCGUUGCCCCACUAGCUGGAGAAGCAGGGGCCGUCCCAGGUCCGUGGAGGGAGAAUCGGGGUGAGGGGAGGAUAAACUUGUAAACAGGGGCCUGGAGAUGGCAGGAGAUGGCAGGAGGUUGGGCCCUGCCAACCUAGACUUUCAGAGAUUUGAGCUGGGCCUGAAGGAAGCAGCAGCCCACGUGGCAGGUCUCUGCCGACUGUGGGGAGUCCAGGUAAUGACUGUUGGCCACUGAGGUGGCUAGCAAGUCCGCUAAAGCUCAGCUGGAUUGGCUAAGCUGUCAGCUGCUCAGAGAACUUGGCCAGACCUGCAGUGUAGCCAGGGCCGCUGGGCCAGCCUCCUGCUGUGACUUCGGAGCAGGCAUUUUACUUUACUUUUACUGUGAUCCUACCGUGAAUGAGAUUUGUGCUUUCAAGAAAAAAAAAAAUCAGCUUAAUCCUGUGCGAGGGGUUCUGGAAAAGACACUGAGCUUGGAAAACACAUUAGAGCUUGACGUUGGUUCAGAUGAAGUGACCUGCCUCUCAGAGGCUCAGUGUACCCAUCUGUUAACUGGGCUGCGGUGAUGUGUGCUCUGCGGAGUGACCUGGGGAUGAGUUGAAUGUGUCCUCCAGAAGGUGGUGGCUCACCCCAGGAGUCACAGCCACCGGCGAUUUUUUUUUUUUUUCCAUAUAACUAGGAUCCCUUGGGCAAGUCUAGGAAAAGCCAGGACAUUCUCCUGACUGGAGCGCCCUCACUUCUUGCCCAGGUGUUGGUGUUCCAGCCAGGGCCCUAGCAGCCAGCCUGUCCCGAGGCCGUGGAAGAUCUUCCCCUAGUGGACUCUUACUUUUUGAGCCGUCCCUUCACUUCCUUCAUGCCUUCCUUGGCCACUGCUCCCCUUUGCCUCCCCACAGCUUGGAUUUCUGAACAUGAGUCUAGAGAAUAAAAUUGGAAACUGU
Long non-coding RNA from Canis lupus familiaris (dog), 4606 nucleotides. RefSeq lists it as uncharacterized. The transcript is spliced from 5 exons. Lineage: Eukaryota; Metazoa; Chordata; Mammalia; Carnivora; Canidae. The record is from RefSeq and is a predicted model, not a curated record.